Molecule: non-coding RNA, 73 nt
Organism: Lasiosphaeris hirsuta
Lineage: Eukaryota; Fungi; Ascomycota; Sordariomycetes; Sordariales; Lasiosphaeriaceae
Source: the annotation of a GenBank genome assembly
GGCCCGCUGGCGCAAUUGGUAGCGCGUCCGCCUCCAGAGCGGAAGGUUAUCCGUUCAAAUCGGGUGUGGGUCA